Molecule: ribosomal RNA, 839 nt
Filed under: uncultured eukaryote
Lineage: Eukaryota
Description: SSU rRNA
Rfam family: Eukaryotic small subunit ribosomal RNA
Source: RNAcentral
CGGUGUUCAACUGGCGUGCCCGCGGGACGUCCUGCCGGUGAGCUCAGCCCGCGAGGGCGGCUCAACUUGAAAUCCCAUCGCGGUGCUCUUCAUUGAGUGUCGAGGUGGGCCGGCACGAUUACUUUUGAACAGAUUAGAGUGCUUAAAGCAGGCUAAAAUUUUGCCUGAAUACUGUGUAUAUGGAAUAAUGGAAUAGGACCUCGGUUCUAUUUUGUUGGUUUUCGGAACCCCGAGGUAAUGAUUAAUAGGAACGGAUGGGGGCAUUCGUAUUGCGACGUUAGAGGUGAAAUUCUUGGGUCGUCGCAAGACGGACUAAAGCGAAGGCAUUUGCCAAAAACGCUUUCAUUGAUCAAGAACGAAAGUUAGAGGUUCGAAGGCGAUCAGAUACCGCCCUAGUUCUAACCAUAAACUAUGCCAGCUAGCGAUCCGCCGACGUCCCUCUGAUGACUCGGCGGGCAGCUUCCGGGAAACCAAAGCUUUUGGGUUCCGGGGGAAGUAUGGUUGCAAAGCUGAAACUUAAAGGAAUUGACGGAAGGGCACCACCAGGAGUGGAGCCUGCGGCUUAAUUUGACUCAACACGGGAAACCUCACCAGGCCCAGACACUGGAAGGAUUGACAGAUUGAGAGCUCUUUCUUGAUUCAGUGGGUGGUGGUGCAUGGCCGUUCUUAGUCGGUGGAGCGAUUUGUCAGGUUAAUUCCGAUAACGGACGAGACUCUGACCUGAUAACUAGACGCACUUGCGGCAUCUCAAAGGUCCGCCGGCGGCUGGCUUUGCGCCCGUCGUCGCGCGCGAUUUUUACUGCCGGCGUACAAUAAAUUCUUCUUAGAGGGACAAGUGG